Molecule: ribosomal RNA, 690 nt
Filed under: Roseateles chitosanitabidus
Lineage: Bacteria; Pseudomonadati; Pseudomonadota; Betaproteobacteria; Burkholderiales; Sphaerotilaceae
Description: bacterial SSU rRNA
Rfam family: Bacterial small subunit ribosomal RNA
Source: RNAcentral
GCGGGGCAACCUGGCGACGAGUGGCGAACGGGUGAGUAAUGUAUCGGAACGUGCCCAGUUGUGGGGGAUAACUGCUCGAAAGAGCAGCUAAUACCGCAUACGACCUGAGGGUGAAAGCGGGGGAUCGCAAGACCUCGCGCAGUUGGAGCGGCCGAUAUCAGAUUAGGUAGUUGGUGGGGUAAAGGCUCACCAAGCCAACGAUCUGUAGCUGGUCUGAGAGGACGACCAGCCACACUGGGACUGAGACACGGCCCAGACUCCUACGGGAGGCAGCAGUGGGGAAUUUUGGACAAUGGGGGCAACCCUGAUCCAGCCAUGCCGCGUGCGGGAAGAAGGCCUUCGGGUUGUAAACCGCUUUUGUCAGGGAAGAAAAGACUCCUGUUAAUACCGGGGGUUCAUGACGGUACCUGAAGAAUAAGCACCGGCUAACUACGUGCCAGCAGCCGCGGUAAUACGUAGGGUGCAAGCGUUAAUCGGAAUUACUGGGCGUAAAGCGUGCGCAGGCGGUUAUGCAAGACAGAUGUGAAAUCCCCGGGCUCAACCUGGGAACUGCAUUUGUGACUGCAUGGCUAGAGUACGGCAGAGGGGGAUGGAAUUCCGCGUGUAGCAGUGAAAUGCGUAGAUAUGCGGAGGAACACCGAUGGCGAAGGCAAUCCCCUGGGCCUGUACUGACGCUCAUGCACGAAAGCG